GCAUAACGCGAAGAACCUUACCAAGGCUUGACAUCCCCUUGACCGGCACAGAGAUGUGCCCUCUCCUUCGGGAGCAAGGGUGACAGGUGGUGCAUGGUUGUCGUCAGCUCGUGUCGUGAGAUGUUGGGUUAAGUCCCGCAACGAGCGCAACCCUUAUCCUUAGUUGCCAGCAUUUAAGGUGGGCACUCUAAGGAGACUGCCGAUGAUAAAUCGGAGGAAGGUGGGGAUGACGUCAAAUCAUCAUGCCCCUUAUGUCUUGGGCUACACACGUGCUACAAUGGUCGGUACAAAGGGGAGCGAAGGAGUGAUCUGGAGCAAAUCCCAAUAAACCGAUCUCAGUUCGGAUUGUAGGCUGCAACUCGCCUACAUGAAGUCGGAGUUGCUAGUAAUCGCGAAUCAGAACGUCGCGGUGAAUGCGUUCCCGGGUCUUGUACACACCG
RNAcentral lists this ribosomal RNA (440 nucleotides) under uncultured bacterium. RNAcentral's name for it is "bacterial SSU rRNA". It matches the Rfam family "Bacterial small subunit ribosomal RNA", at positions 954 to 1392 of the family's 1533-position model. The record is from RNAcentral.